RNAcentral lists this ribosomal RNA (277 nucleotides) under uncultured bacterium. Its description in RNAcentral is "partial 16S ribosomal RNA". It matches the Rfam family "Bacterial small subunit ribosomal RNA", at positions 28 to 316 of the family's 1533-position model. The record is from RNAcentral.
GAUGAACGCUGGCGGCGUGCUUAACACAUGCAAGUCGGACGGGCUCCUUCGGGAGCCAGUGGCGACCGGGUGCGUAACACGUAGAUGACCGACCCUUAAGUGGGGGACAACUGCCCGAAAGGGUAGCUAAUACCGCAUACGCUGCCUGGGUCAGACCAGGCAGGAAAGUCGUGAGACGCUUGCGGGAGGGUCUGCGGCCCAUCAGGUCGUUGGCGGGGUAACGGCCCACCAAGCCAUUGACGGGUCGGGGGUGUGAGAGCAUGACCCCCCACACUGG